UUUUCUAUCUUUUUCUUUUGUUUCUUUUCUUCUUCUCCAUUAAUCUCCAUUAAUGAUGUCUUUGUUUUUCCUCUUCCUCUUCUUCUUCAUUAAAAGAGUGAUGGUGAAUUUUAUCAUGAUCGGUGUUUAUUUUUCAAUAAAAAUAAUAAAGAUACAUAAACAAGACCGAUAAAAAGGACAUGGUAUGUUAGCCACCAUUUUUUUCGGCGAAA
RNAcentral lists this long non-coding RNA (212 nucleotides) under Capsicum annuum. Its description in RNAcentral is "long non-coding RNA (CANN_LNC004416)". The record is from RNAcentral. Lineage: Eukaryota; Viridiplantae; Streptophyta; Magnoliopsida; Solanales; Solanaceae.